Molecule: small nuclear RNA, 107 nt
Organism: Ursus americanus (American black bear)
Lineage: Eukaryota; Metazoa; Chordata; Mammalia; Carnivora; Ursidae
Source: Ensembl
AUGAUCGCUUUGGCAGCACUUACACUACAACUGGAAAAAUACAGAGAAGAUUAGCAUGGCCCCUGCAUGAGGAUGACCUCGAAAUUUGCAAAGCAUUCCAUAUUUUU